This 978-nucleotide ribosomal RNA is filed under the name Triticum aestivum (bread wheat). RNAcentral's name for it is "partial small subunit ribosomal RNA". The record is from RNAcentral. Lineage: Eukaryota; Viridiplantae; Streptophyta; Magnoliopsida; Poales; Poaceae.
AUGGCCAUGGAGACCUUGAGGGCAGUCGAUCUGGAAUCCAUGGACGCGAGUGCGGAGGAAUCCGACGGAAGUGAGUACUGGAUGGCCAGCGACAGCGAGGAGGAGGACAUACAGUGGCCCCAGACUCCUCCUGCCUAUGGCUACCCCGACGACGGCGAGUGGCGACCCGUCGUCCUCAUCGACCAAUUCGCCUACUUCGCCGACCGACACAACGCCACCACCGCCACCACCACCGCCGAGUUCCCGCGGUGGGUUCCAAACUCAAGGGCGCCAUCAAGUAAACGAGAAUACUUUGUCUACGACCCCCGCGCCGCCAAGCUCGACCACCUCCCGCACCCCGGCCGCCAACAUGAAUUCGAUGAGUACACGCUUGCCAUCGUGCGAAAGUGCAGCCAACACUGCCAAGGCACCAGCAGCACCACCACCACCCACCAGGACAGCAGAGCAUCCUUGCAGGAGCACCACUGUGACUGCACCUACGUCGUUGCCGCACAAGCUAUUUCGUUCACAAGUCCACAAACUUCUCACCUCUGCAUGUACCACUCUGAUACCAAGACCUGGAGCAAGAAGCCGAGCAUCCUCUUCUGCGACAUCCUCGACGAACAACCCAAGCUCCGUUGCCUAGAGCUCCCGAAGCGCAUCAUGCCGAAAAACGAAAUGGGGCGUGGCGAUCCAAGGUCUAUUCGGGACAUUGCUGUCGUUGGUAACAUCAUCAAGUUUGUCGAUAUGCAUGUUCACUUCGAUAGCUACUCUAAAACCUCCCAUCAUUGGAAGGCCGUCGCAUGGAGCAUCAGGAUCGGUAGCUUCUCUCGUGAGGAUUGGACCAGGGAUCACCACAUGAGAUCCACCCGGAUACCCCCUCCAUCAUCGCUGCAUCAGCUGAUGGUUGAUGCUGGCAUCAAGGCUGCCCACCCAACCUUGUCGACUCUCCGCGUUGGCCUGCCCAACAUCAGCCUACAGAAUGAUGACAUUGUUUAG